RNAcentral lists this long non-coding RNA (669 nucleotides) under Marmota monax (woodchuck). The record is from RNAcentral. Lineage: Eukaryota; Metazoa; Chordata; Mammalia; Rodentia; Sciuridae.
GCUUAUCUCCCUAAAUUGUGAGAAAAUGCUUUCUAAGUUGUGAAGACUCACAAAAAUAUCAAGUACUGUUCUUUAUAUCAUAGCUAAGUUCAUGUUGUAAGUGGGGGUGGAAACUAAAUUUUAUUGAAUCCCUUAGUCUGUUCCAGGAGCUAUGCUAAGCACUUCAUAUACACUGCCUUCCAGUAAACCUACCACAGGUACACAUUAUUUUACACAUUUUUUACAUGUGCACAGAGAGGUCAAGUGACUCGUCCACGGUCACACAGCUAGUUUGUCACAGAGCCAGGAAUAGAACCUAAGUCUGUGAGAUUUUUUUCAAUCUUUCAUAAUCCUAGAAGAUUAUACUUGGGUCAUUCAUAACCUUUUCUUCUUAGGUUAAACAACUCCCAUUCUAUUUUUUCUUUUUCAAUCCUUUUCUGAUGGGCAUUUCGUCUUAUGAAAUAUGUGACAAGUUUUGGAAAAUCAGGAACUAUUCUUGGUGGGUACAAACAAGUGGAGUUGUCUUAGGAGCUUAACAUAUUGUUAUCUCUGAGAAGAGUUUAUGUAAAUCUUAAAAUUUCACUACUACUGGGGUCUGAUGGCAAUUAUGGCUAAUUUAAGCCUGUGGAGUCACACACGAGGCACUUAAAACAAGAGGAAAGACACAAUAGGUCUGCAUGAAAUUUACAG